UACAGAGGUCUCAAGCGUUGUUCGGAUUCAUUGGGCGUAAAGGGCGCGUAGGCGGCGCGGUAAGUCGGGUGUGAAAUCUCGGAGCUUAACUCCGAAACUGCAUUCGAUACUGCCGUGCUUGAGGACUGGAGAGGAGACUGGAAUUUACGGUGUAGCGGUGAAAUGCGUAGAUAUCGUAAGGAAGACCAGUGGCGAAGGCGGGUCUCUGGACAGUUCCUGACGCUGAGGCACGAAGGCUAGGGGAGCAAACGGG
This 253-nucleotide ribosomal RNA is filed under the name uncultured bacterium. RNAcentral's name for it is "partial 16S ribosomal RNA". It matches the Rfam family "Bacterial small subunit ribosomal RNA", at positions 524 to 776 of the family's 1533-position model. The record is from RNAcentral.